This is a long non-coding RNA of Sinocyclocheilus grahami, 247 nucleotides long. RefSeq lists it as uncharacterized. Lineage: Eukaryota; Metazoa; Chordata; Actinopteri; Cypriniformes; Cyprinidae. The record is from RefSeq and is a predicted model, not a curated record. The transcript is spliced from 2 exons.
UUACUAACUAGACUGUAAAAAGAUUGAGAGAGAGAGAGAAAAACACAUGAAAAUUACCAACUGCUUUUAAGGCCCUGCCUUGUUCAGGGCCAAGCAUUAAUCAAUAACAAACAAGGCAGGCCAUAGAGAAAAAGGACGAUUGGCCUUUUACAAAAAUGCUGAAUCACAGGUAUGAUUGAUGGGGUUUGUGGUUGUUUUAAUGCUCAUCCUGGUUGUGCCUGACUUAAUUUAUGUUUUAAACCCUACA